GAUGAACGCUGGCGGCGUGCUUAACACAUGCAAGUCGAACGAUGAAGCCCAGCUUGCUGGGUGGAUUAGUGGAGAACGGGUGAGUAACACGUGAGUAACCUGCCCUUAACUCUGGGAUAAGCCUGGGAAACUGGGUCUAAUACCGGAUAGGAGCGUCCACCGCAUGGUGGGUGUUGGAAAGAUUUAUCGGUUUUGGAUGGACUCGCGGCCUAUCAGCUUGUUGGUGAGGUAAUGGCUCACCAAGGCGACGACGGGUAGCCGGCCUGAGAGGGUGACCGGCCACACUGGGACUGAGACGCGGCCCAGACUCCUGCGGGGGACAGCAGUGGGGAAUAUUGCACAAUGGGCGAGAGCCUGAUGCAGCGACGCCGCGUGAGAGAAGACGGCCUUCGGUUUGUAAACCUCUUUCAGGAGAGAAGAAGCGAAAGUGACGGUACCUGCAGAAGAAGCACCGGCUAACUACGUG
RNAcentral lists this ribosomal RNA (466 nucleotides) under uncultured bacterium. Its description in RNAcentral is "partial 16S ribosomal RNA". It matches the Rfam family "Bacterial small subunit ribosomal RNA", at positions 28 to 507 of the family's 1533-position model. The record is from RNAcentral.